RNAcentral lists this ribosomal RNA (301 nucleotides) under uncultured bacterium. Its description in RNAcentral is "partial 16S ribosomal RNA". It matches the Rfam family "Bacterial small subunit ribosomal RNA", at positions 509 to 807 of the family's 1533-position model. The record is from RNAcentral.
CAGUAGCCGCGGGAAUACGAAGGGGGCUAGCGUUGUUCGGAUUUACUGGGCGUAAAGGGUGCGUAGGCGGAUUGUUAAGUCAGGGGUGAAAUCCCGAGGCUCAACCUCGGAACUGCCUUUGAUACUGGCGAUCUUGAGUCUGGGAGAGGUGAGUGGAACUGCGAGUGUAGAGGUGAAAUUCGUAGAUAUUCGCAAGAACACCGGUGGCGAAGGCGGCUCACUGGCCCGGAACUGACGCUGAGGCACGAAAGCGUGGGGAGCAAACAGGAUUAGAUACCCCCGUAGUCCCUGUCUCUUAUAC